UGGGGAAUAUUGCACAAUGGAGGGAACUCUGAUGCAGCGACGCCGCGUGAACGAAGAAGGCUUUCGAGUCGUAAAGUUCUUUUAUAUGGGAAGAUAAUGACGGUACCAUAAGAAAAAGCCCCGGCUAACUACGUGCCAGCAGCCGCGGUAAUACGUAGGGGGCUAGCGUUGUCCGGAAUCACUGGGCGUAAAGGGUUCGCAGGCGGAAAUGCAAGUCAGGUGUAAAAGGCAGUAGCUUAACUACUGUAAGCAAUUGAAACUGUAUUUCUUGAGAUGUGGAGAGGCAAGUGGAAUUCCUAGUGUAGCGGUGAAAUGCGUAGAUAUUAGGAAGAAUACCGGUGGCGAAGGCGACUUGCUGGACACAAACUGACGCUGAGGAACGAAAGCGUGGGUAGCAAACAGG
Molecule: ribosomal RNA, 403 nt
Filed under: Fusobacteriota bacterium
Lineage: Bacteria; Fusobacteriati; Fusobacteriota
Description: Fusobacteria bacterium partial 16S ribosomal RNA
Rfam family: Bacterial small subunit ribosomal RNA
Source: RNAcentral